CCUACGGGAGGCAGCAGUGAGGAAUAUUGGUCAAUGGGCGUAAGCCUGAACCAGCCAAGUCGCGUGAGGGAUGAAGGUUCUAUGGAUCGUAAACCUCUUUUAUAAGGGAAUAAAGUGUGGGACGUGUCCUGUUUUGUAUGUACCUUAUGAAUAAGGAUCGGCUAACUCCGUGCCAGCAGCCGCGGUAAUACGGAGGAUCCGAGCGUUAUCCGGAUUUAUUGGGGUUAAAGGGUGCGUAGGCGGCCUUUUAAGUCCGCGGUGAAAGUCUGUGGCUCAACCAUGGAAUUGCCGUUGAAACUGGGAGGCUUGAGUAUGUGUGAGGCAGGCGGAAUGCGUGGUGUAGCGGUGAAAUGCUUAGAUAUCACGCAGAACCCCGAUUGCGAAGGCAGCCUGCCAAGCCAUGACUGACGCUGAUGCACGAAAGCGUGGGGAUCAAACAGGAUUAGAUACCCCAGUAGUC
RNAcentral lists this ribosomal RNA (460 nucleotides) under uncultured bacterium. Its description in RNAcentral is "partial 16S ribosomal RNA". It matches the Rfam family "Bacterial small subunit ribosomal RNA", at positions 338 to 795 of the family's 1533-position model. The record is from RNAcentral.